GUGCGUGCAGCUUUCAAGUCGCCAUUUUGAGUAAAAGCGUGUACGAGUGGAAGACGAUCAAAAAUGAAUCAAACAAACCAAAUGCCUGGUAAUAAGAAUGGGGCAAGUGGUCCUCCCAUUGACAACGAUCUUUUGGAAGUUCUUAAGUUGGAGAGAGAGAGCAUUGGUGACACAACAUUUCCGAACGCGGCUCGUCUGCUAGACAAAGAAAUUGAGCAAGUUAGCAGAGGGAAGCUCUCAGACUUCUUAGAUGUUACUUCUGACUCUAAGAAGUGCAAACUGAACUCAAAAGUAUACAUUCCACACAAAGAAUUCCCAAAGUUUAACUUUGUUGGGAAGCUUUUGGGACCUAAAGGAUUGUCUCUAAAAAGACUUCAGGAAGACACGGGUACAAAAAUGUCAAUCCUUGGAAAAGGUUCAAUGAGAGACAAAAAUAAGGAGGAAGAGUGUCGGAAAGAGGGUGGCAAGUACGCACAUUUGAAUGAAGAACUCCAUGUGCUGGUGGAGGUGUUUGCUCCUCCUGCAGAAGCUUACUCUAGACUGUCACAUGCUAUGGCUGAACUAAGGAAGUACUUAACCCCAGAAUACAAUGAUGAGAUCCGACAGGAACAGUUCCAGGAGCUGAUGAACUUGGGUGACCCAGGCAGUGCCGGGGCUCCAAGAGGAAGAGGAGGAAGAGGACGUGGCAUGCCUGGUGGACCAGCCCCCAGAGGAAGAGGGGCUAUGGGUGGGGGUCCAAUGGGAAGGGGAAGUGCAUUGGGGCGUGGUGGUAUACCUGCUGGACGUGGGGCAUCACGAGGGGGAUUGUUGUCUGGGCGUGGUGCGAUGGGUGGGGGUAUGGUGCCUCCACCAGCACCUACACCAUUAGUUGGAAGAGGAGCCCUUGCUAGAGAGCCAGACUAUGAUGAUGGUUAUGGUGCUGGUUAUGAUGAUGCCUAUGGAGAAAGCAGCUACAGUGCAGGGGGAAGAGAUGCUUAUGAGGAGGAUUACUCUGCAGGAGGUGCAAGUGACACACAGUACUUUGAUUAUGGACAUGGGUCUACCGCAACAAGGGACAGAUAUGAUGAUGCAGGAUAUGGUGAUUCGUGGGGAUCUGGAAGCCUAGGAGGUGGUCGUGGUAGUGGUAGCACAUACAAAGCUCCAACAAGUCUUAGAGCAGCACCAAGGCAACACCCAUAUGGGCGGGGUUACUAAAGCUGGCAGCCCAUGUUUGGCACCUGCCUGUGGACCUGUGUCUGCUAUUGAAGACUACCUAGGAAGCUAUGUUGGCAAUGGCACAUCAGAGGGUCCAUAAAUUCUUUUCCCUUGUGAGAUGGAAAUGUGACUCCUGUCACCACAUGGCCUACGCUGGUGUGACCCACUUGUCUGAGAGAUCUUGACAUCAAUGCCAAAAAAACUUGCAAACUGUGAUGCAUGAGACUGGAUGAUGUUGAUGCAUUGAAUGUAUUACGUCUUUCAAACUGCGCUGUAAUAAGAUCGAUGCAGUUUUACAUUUUGGGUGCCCAGAAUUGAUAACUUUUCCUUUCUAUAGAAUUUUAACAAAUUUUAGUGUAAAUCCAUACAAAAUUGAUAAGUGGACAAAAUUUUUCGUCCAGUAUAAUGUGGGCAAUUUUAGAACAAAAAAGCAACAGUAUUACUAAGCUCUUCCUGGGGUUUGAUCUAUUGUUAAUUUCUCCCACUUUCAAACUUCAUGUCCACUGCUUUAUUUAUUAUUACUUAUUUUUUUCCAUUUACAAAUUACAAGAGUAGGGAAAAUUCAUGGGAAAAAAUACCCUCGUCUACCAACAUCAAUUUUUUUCUAGGCUAAUGUAAACUUUAAUGUAAAAACUAUAUAUUUUUAUUUUUGAUAUUUUUACAAGUAAAAGUCCUUUAAACUGU
RNAcentral lists this unclassified non-coding RNA (1878 nucleotides) under Lingula anatina. RNAcentral's name for it is "kH domain-containing, RNA-binding, signal transduction-associated protein 3, transcript variant X2". The record is from RNAcentral. Lineage: Eukaryota; Metazoa; Brachiopoda; Lingulata; Lingulida; Lingulidae.